This is a long non-coding RNA of Grammomys surdaster, 284 nucleotides long. RefSeq lists it as uncharacterized. The record is from RefSeq and is a predicted model, not a curated record. NCBI's taxonomy places the organism in Eukaryota, Metazoa, Chordata, Mammalia, Rodentia, Muridae. The transcript is spliced from 3 exons.
GGGACAAUGAAUGCAGGAGCCUUGGCUCUGGACCCCUUUUUUGGGUACAUGCAGGACCGCCGCUGUCACUCAGGCCCUCCAGAGUCACUGGCUGCGAAGGUUCAACCUCCAGCUGGAAUCUCCUAAUGCCCCUGUCAAACAGAACAGGAGGCGGCAACAGAACAGAGGACAUUGAGAACACAGCCUGAAGCCUGAUAUGAAGAGGAGGAAGGAGAUGAGCAAGAACACCUGGCCUUCGGGGUGGAAUUCAACUUAGGGAUAAAAUGUAGCCACAGAUCUCCCUG